GAUGAACGCUGGCGGCGUGCCUAAUACAUGCAAGUCGAGCGAACGGACGAGAAGCUUGCUUCUCUGAUGUUAGCGGCGGACGGGUGAGUAACACGUGGAUAACCUACCUAUAAGACUGGGAUAACUUCGGGAAACCGUAGCUAAUACCGGAUAAUAUUUUGAACCGCAUGGUUCAAAAGUGAAAGACGGUCUUGCUGUCACUUAUCGAUGGAUCCGCGCUGCAUUAGCUAGUUGGUAAGGUAACGGCUUACCAAGGCAACGAUGCAUAGCCGACCUGAGAGGGUGAUCGGCCACACUGGAACUGAGACACGGUCCAGACUCCUACGGGAGGCAGCAGUAGGGAAUCUUCCGCAAUGGGCGAAAGCCUUACGGAGCAACGCCGCGUGAGUGAUGAAGGUCUUCGGAUCGUAAAACUCUGUUAUUAGGGAAGAACAUAUGUGUAAGUAACUGUGCACAUCUUGACGGUACCUAAUCAGAAAGCCACGGCUAACUACGUG
Molecule: ribosomal RNA, 497 nt
Filed under: uncultured bacterium
Lineage: Bacteria
Description: partial 16S ribosomal RNA
Rfam family: Bacterial small subunit ribosomal RNA
Source: RNAcentral